RNAcentral lists this long non-coding RNA (956 nucleotides) under Sus scrofa (pig). RNAcentral's name for it is "lncRNA (ENSSSCG00015024497.1)". The record is from RNAcentral. Lineage: Eukaryota; Metazoa; Chordata; Mammalia; Artiodactyla; Suidae.
GUCCAAGACUCCAGCAGCAGCUCAGAGAGGGCUCCCUCUAGUAAAUCCUCAUCACUUGGCCCGAAGUCCAGACCUCCCUGGGGAGCAGACAGCUCCAGAAGGUGAGGACUGCAAAAUGGCUGCAAGUUAUAGGCCUCGCUGUGAUCGGAGCUGAAGAGGGAACCUGCGAGUGGGUACUGAGGUCCUUCUCCGCUCCUGAGGUGCUCAGUCCUGUUAGGGUCGGACCUCACCACUGCUGCGGGGCCUGCUUUCUGCGCUAGGUGGCGAAAUGCUGUGGGGCUCCCCUAUUCGGGGGAAUGCGGUAGUGAUGUAUAAGGUAUGAAAGAUGUGGCCUGCAGAGAGCCGGCACUAUCUCUACUGCUGCUGCUACUGCUGUUGCUGCCGAGGCUGCCACAGCCGCUACUGCUGCCGGCAGAGCUGCUGGGAGUGAGCAUCCCCCGUCUGGGAUAACCAGCUCCGCGGCAUCUCCUGCGUGCCCUGGCUCCACAGGGACUGCCAGCCCUAGGGAACAAAAGCGGAGCCCCUUCUCGCCCUCUCCUGCAGCCAGAGGAUGAGUCGAGAGGGCUGAGCGGAGAGUGUGGUUCUUGGCGACUGGGCGGCGGAGAAGGGCCUGCAACAGAGAUCUUAGAUUGUUUAGAAGCCUCCCCCACAGCUAAGGUCAGUAGUAUUAUCCCAAGUUGGAGUCACCUCUUUGCAUUCCUUCACUUCUGUAGUGUUCCCAUCCAUACAAUGGGCUGAGUGUCCCUAAUCUAUGUAAAUCAUGGAUUUCAGCAGAAGAGCAUGUCCUUAAAGUUCUUGAAAAGUAUAAAGUGAUAUAUUAAUAUUAUUACUAUUUUAUUGAUAUAGUGCUAUAGGUAUUCACAGAUAUUUCUCAAAAGAAUGGAAAGAACUCUGAUAGACUAGAACCCGAAAGAAGCCCAGAAUAAAAUCCGCUGAAUUUCAAAUGGGCCUAAUCA